This 253-nucleotide ribosomal RNA is filed under the name uncultured bacterium. Its description in RNAcentral is "partial 16S ribosomal RNA". It matches the Rfam family "Bacterial small subunit ribosomal RNA", at positions 524 to 776 of the family's 1533-position model. The record is from RNAcentral.
UACGUAGGGCACAAGCGUUAUCCGGAAUUAUUGGGCGUAAAGAGCUCGUAGGCGGUUUGUCGCGUCUGCCGUGAAAGUCCGGGGCUCAACUCCGGAUCUGCGGUGGGUACGGGCAGACUAGAGUGAUGUAGGGGAGACUGGAAUUCCUGGUGUAGCGGUGGAAUGCGCAGAUAUCAGGAGGAACACCGGUGGCGAAGGCGGCAUCCUGGACCGAAAUUGACGCUGAGGCGCGAAAGCCAGGGGAGCAAACGGG